RNAcentral lists this ribosomal RNA (2858 nucleotides) under human gut metagenome. Its description in RNAcentral is "bacterial LSU rRNA". It matches the Rfam family "Bacterial large subunit ribosomal RNA". The record is from RNAcentral.
AGGGCGCAAGGGGGAUGCCUUGGCAUUGGUAGCCGAUGAAGGACGUAGCGAUCUACGAUAAGCCACGGGAAGUCGAAAGCAGGCAAUGAUCCGUGGAUUUCCGAAUGGGGAAACCCGGCAGAGCAAUACUCUGUCAACUCCUUGUGAAUAAAAUAGCAUUGAGUAGGGAACCUCCUGAACUGAAACAUCUAAGUAGGGAGAGGAAAAGAAAUCAACCGAGAUUCCGCUAGUAGUGGCGAGCGAACGCGGAAGAGGCCAAACCGGAGGUAGCAAUAUUUCCGGGGUUAGGACUGCAAUAUGUAACUUUAAUCUUUAACUGAAUGCUUUGGGAAGAGCAGCAAUAUAGGGUGAUAGCCCCGUAAGUGAAAAGGAUUGAGUGCUAGCAGUAUCCAGAGUACCAGCGGACACGUGAAACCCGCUGGGAAGAUGGGGGGACCAUCCUCCAAGCCUAAAUACUACUCAGUGACCGAUAGUGGAGCAGUACCGUGAGGGAAAGGUGAAAAGUACCCCGGGAGGGGAGUGAAAAAGAACCUGAAACCUUGUGCCUACAAGCACCGAGAGUCCGUUAAAGGAUGAUCGGGUACUUUUUGUAGAACGGUCCGGCGAGUUAAUAUUUGCAGCGAGGUUAAGGAACUGGAGUUCCGGAGCCGCAGCGAGAGCGAGUCUGAAAAGGGCGUAUGAAGUUGCAGGUAUUAGACCCGAAACCGGGUGACCUAUCCAUGAGCAGGCUGAAGCGGUGGUAAGACACCGUGGAGGGCCGCACCCACGUCUGUUGAAAAAGCCGGGGAUGACUUGUGGAUAGCGGAGAAAUUCCAAUCGAACUCGGAGAUAGCUGGUUCUCCUCGAAAUAGCUUUAGGGCUAGCCUUGUUUAGUAGCAUGUGGAGGUAAAGCACUGAAUAUGUGAGGGUUCUUACCAGAAUACCGAUCAUUAUCAAACUCUGAAUGCCAUGUGUGUAAGAACAGGAGUCAGACAGUGACAGCUAAGUGCCAUUGUCAAAAGGGAAAGAGCCCAGACCAACAGCUAAGGUCCCAAAAUUGUAGUUAAGUGGAAAAGGAUGUGGGAAUUCAUAGACAACCAGGAUGUUGGCUCAGAAGCAGCCAUUCAUUUAAAGAGUGCGUAAAAGCUCACUGGUCGAAGUAGGCCUGCGCCGAAAAUUACCGGGGCUAAACUACAUACCGAAGCUUUGGAUUUGGUACGUAAAGUAUUAAGUGGUAGAGGAGCGUUGUAUAAAGGUUGAAGCUAUACUGAAAAGAGUAGUGGACGAUAUACAAGAGAGAAUGCCGGAAUAAGUAGCGAGAGCACAGUGAGAAUCUGUGCCGCCGAAAACCUAAGGUUUCCUGGGGAAGGUUCGUCCGCCCAGGGUAAGUCGGGACCUAAGACGAGGCUAAAGCAGCGUAGUCGAUGGAAAGCAGGUAAAAGAUUCCUGCACUACCGAAAUGCGAUAUACAAUAUAUCAUGACGCAUCAGAGGAGUCUAAGCGAGCAAAUGGAAAAGUUCGUACCGCAAGGUGGAGUGAAAAAAUAGUAGCGAAGUAGACAAAUCAGGUGACAAGAAAAGUGAUAUAGGAGCAUAGAGGUACUCGUACCGUAAACCGACACAGGUGGGAAGAAAGAGAAUUUUCAGGCGAACGAGAGAAUCAUUGUUAAGGAACUCGGCAAAUUAACCCCGUAACUUAGGGAUAAGGGGAGCCAAUAGCGAUAUUGGUCGCAGAGAAAUGGCCCAAGCAACUGUUUAGCAAAAACACAGGUUUCUGCCAAAUCGAAAGAUGAAGUAUAGGAGCUGACGCCUGCCCAGUGCUGGAAGGUCAAGGGGAGAUGUUAGAAGAAAUUCGAAGCAUAGAACCAAAGCCCCAGUGAACGGCGGCCGUAACUAUAACGGUCCUAAGGUAGCGAAAUUCCUUGUCAGGUAAGUUCUGACCCGCACGAAAGGCGUAAUGAUUUGGGCACUGUCUCGACAAUGAACUCGGCGAAAUUGUAGUACUAGUGAAGAUGCUAGUUACCUGUGAUAAGACAGAAAGACCCCAUGGAGCUUUACUGUAGCUUGAUAUUGAGACUAGGUAAGAGAUGUACAGAAUAGAUGGGAGACUAUGAGAUAAGGACGCCAGUUCUUAAGGAGUCACCUUUGGGAUACCAUCCUUCUUUUACUUGGAAUCUAACUAGUUACCAUGAUCUGGUAAUAGGACAGUGUCAGGUGGGCAGUUUGACUGGGGCGGUCGCCUCCUAAAGAGUAACGGAGGCGUUCAAAGGUCAGCUUAACACGGUCAGAAAUCGUGUGAUGACGUGCAAAGGCGUAAGCUGGCUUGACUGCGAGACUGACAGGUCGAGCAGACGCGAAAGCGGGACUUAGUGACCCGAUGGUUGUGAGUGGAAAUGCCAGAGCUCAACGGAUAAAAGUUACCCUGGGGAUAACAGGCUUAUCUCCCCCGAGAGUCCAUAUCGACGGGGAGGUUUGGCACCUCGAUGUCGGCUCAUCGCAUCCUGGAGCGGUAGUACGUUCCAAGGGUUGGGCUGUUCGCCCAUUAAAGCGGCACGCGAGCUGGGUUCAGAACGUCGUGAGACAGUUCGGUCCAUAUCCGGUAUACGCGCAAGAGAUUUGAACGGAGUCUUCCUUAGUACGAGAGGACCGGGAAGAGGGGACCUCCAGUGUACGGGUUAUUCUGCCAAGAGUAAACGCCCGGUAGCUGUGUUCCAAGCGGAUAAGUGCUGAAAGCAUAUAAGUACGAAGCCCACCGUAAGAUGAGAUCUCUCAUAGCAUAAGCUAGUAAGUCCCGUUGCAGAUUACAACGUUGAUAGGUCGCAGGUGUAAGAGUGGCAACAUUUUCAGCCGAGCGAUACUAAUAGGACGAGGGCUUUCCUU